AACGAACGCUGGCGGCGCGCCUAACACAUGCAAGUCGAACGAGAAUCCGGGGCAACCCGGUAGUAAAGUGGCAAACGGGUGAGGAAUACAUGGGUAACCUACCCUUGAGAAGGGAAUAACCCGCCGAAAGGUGAGCUAAUACCCUAUACGCUAUCUUUUUUUCGAAAAGGAUAGGAAAGCCGGGUCGAGGACCUGGUACUCAAGGAGGGGCUCAUGUCCUAUCAGCUUGUUGGUGGGGCAACGGCCUACCAAGGCUACGACGGGUAGCUGGUCUGAGAGGAUGAUCAGCCACACUGGCACUGAGAUACGGGCCAGACUCCUACGGGGAGCA
Molecule: ribosomal RNA, 331 nt
Filed under: uncultured bacterium
Lineage: Bacteria
Description: bacterial SSU rRNA
Rfam family: Bacterial small subunit ribosomal RNA
Source: RNAcentral